Molecule: transfer RNA, 81 nt
Filed under: Apaloderma vittatum (bar-tailed trogon)
Lineage: Eukaryota; Metazoa; Chordata; Aves; Trogoniformes; Trogonidae
Rfam family: tRNA
About the family: Transfer RNA (tRNA) molecules are approximately 80 nucleotides in length.
Source: Rfam by way of RNAcentral
GGCCGGUUAGCUCAGUGGUUUGAGCGCGGUGCUGACAACAAUGACAACACCGAUAUCACGGGUUCAAUUCCCGCUCGGUCC